GUGCAGGUAAGUUAAUUAAAACUAGCAGAUUCAUGUUCUGUCUAUGAGUCCUUUCUCUGUAUA
This 63-nucleotide transfer RNA is filed under the name Schmidtea mediterranea. RNAcentral describes it as "tRNA-Met". The record is from RNAcentral. Lineage: Eukaryota; Metazoa; Platyhelminthes; Tricladida; Dugesiidae.